UCAGUUUCGUGGGCAAAUGGGUUUCGCUUACAUGAGUUUAACUGUGUUUCUUUGAUACAUGUUGAAGUUUCGUGUCAUAACGAGCUUAAUCAAUGUGAUUUAUUUGUGGAUUAAGCAGGUCCCCAAUUGGUACAGUUCUUCUCCAUGGAACAAGUGUGCUUGUGUUACGCUCUCCAACAUGGAGCAUUCAAUAAGGAGAGGUGCAGUGCUUCUCAAAUUUGAAAAGACCAACAUGAAUAUGCCAAAUAAAUUUUGGAGAGAGAGUGAGAAGUGAAUAAGGGAAGUCAGAUUGUCAGAGUAGCUGCGCUUGGGACGAUCAGCUUCGUGAUCUCCAAUGGCCAAUGUGGAAGGAUUGGAUGACUUAAAAGCUAAAACCAGUCCCCCACUUGGUCUGAGUGGCUGCGUUAAUAUUUUUCGGCAUUUUCUCUCUCCAUCUGCAUGCAAAUGGCUUGGCUCUUCUGCUGCAUUCCUCUGCUUUUCUAUAAAUAGUUAUGGGCUAACAGCCACUGGUCCUCCAUUUCCCACCGCCAAUUCCAUGCAAUUUGUCACUUUUCAUCCAUUCCCCGCAUGCCCUGAAGCCUCGUUGUCACGCCCCAACUAGAGAACCCAAUGCUUUGUUUCCACUCCAUGUGGCAGCCAUUACCUCCAAUUAACAUCUCUUUUAUCAACUUUGGAACAAGCCAUCCCAAUCUUGAACCAGGUGCCAUUUAUACCUAAGAUGCAAACAUUCAUAGGCCAAAAUAAAUACCAAAACCUACCAAGAAAAAAAGGUUAAUAGGGCACUGCUCCUACGACGUGUACUUUCUACACCACCAUCACCCAUAACAACCCCAUGGACAUGAUGCUUCAGUUCUUUUUUUUCGUCUGCUCAACCAGAUUAAUGCCAGAGUUAUAGAAAAAGAUCUCUUUUAAAUGAAUGUGUUACUUCAUGUGAUCCUAAAACGUAGCUCUGGCUCAUCUAUUGCACUGAAUAUAUAUGGACUUCAAUGAAUGGGGAUAAUUACAAUUUGUGAACUUUGUAUGGAGAUUCAAUUAACACAAUCGGAAAAUGAGCAACUGUAUCAUGGUUAGCAGACACACCAAUGCCAAGGAAUCAUAUCAUGCUAUGCUGCUGAUGCUUAACUGAGGAAUAAUACACGAACAAAAAGACAUCCGGCAGAGAUUCAGGCACAACCAAAACAUUUGAAUAAGGAGAAAAAACUAGAUGGUUCUGGUGAUGGCUCUGGUUCUGGCUUUAUCGGAGGAAGAUGCUUAAAGAAUGCUUUCACUGCUCCAGUUACCCCAUCCUCAUUCUCCAUCGCCUUGGCAAGCUCAACUGCACGCUCCUUUACCUUGGGAUCUAGCAUGAAAUUUAUAGCAUCAACCAACUUAGGGAGUGAGAACUCGUCAACCGGUAUGGGUGGAGGACCUACUCCUCUGGCAUGUACUCGCUCACCCCAGAAUGGUUGGUCACCAAAGAAAGGCACAAUGGUUGUGGGGCAUGCAGCUUUAAGACCAGCAGCUGUUGUUCCAGCACCUCCGUGAUGAACCACUGCCUUGCAUUGUAAGAACAGCCAGUCAUGAGGACAGUUAUCCAGUAAGUAUAUGGAGUCGUUUGGUUCUGCCAAAUUACCCAGGCCACCCCAGCCUUUGUUAAUGAUUCCCCGCUGGCCAGUUUGUUCCAAUGCAUCCACAAUUAUUUGGGUCAUUUUUUCUGGUUCUUGAACAGGGAGGCUCCCAAACCCAAUGUAAAUAGGUUUUGGGCCAGCUUCAAGCCAUUUCACAAGUGACUCAGGAGGUUCAUAAUUUGACGCUAAAUCAAGAAAGCAAAAUCCCACAACAUCAACUUUUGACCCCCAAUCUUGACGAGUUUCAUACUGUCUUAGAAUUUGACAAGUUAGCUCAUUGGCUAUAUCAGACCGCACAUUCACUAGCUCUAAGAAGCUCAUGUGAAGCUUGAUUAAAGCUUGAGCUCAAUAGAUUGCACUGCCUUUGAGCAGCCCUUUUGGUUUUGGAACAAGGUGAGGACUCCAUAUGUAUCCAUGUGGCACAUCAGAAUCAGAGCCUUGUGAACCACUAAGAUAUGUAACAGGUCGUAGCUUCAGCUUUUUUUUCCUAACAUCAUUUAUCAUGUCCCUUAUUCCAAGCCAAAUCAAUGAGUCAACUAUUUGAUAUGAAAGCUACAGAAAUGCAAAUCACUAGAAGUUACUUGGAGAGAACCAAGAAUUUGCAGAGAAAUCAAAGCACAGCAAGGCACCGAAGAGAAGGAUGGGAAAAAUAAUAGACUCACUCGAUAUCCAGCUGACUGCUUUACACGGGACAAAGGAUGUGGAAAUUCACUAGUUGGCCUGAUGGAAAAGACCAAGCAUUGCUUAAAGCAGUUUAGAAUUACUCAGCAUUCUGGAUAAUGAAAAAAAUAAUAGCGAAGGGGCAGAGAUGUAAACAAUGACAAGUUAAAUAUAGAACUAUUCAACUAUAUUCCAUUACCAAUACAAGACUUACGUCCAUGGCAUAGUGAAAAAUAUAUGAAGCGGAAUUUUUAGUGCUUCUGCCACAUGAACGUGCCCAUAUGCAGGAGGAUUGGCUAUUACUGCAUCUGCCCUGAAAGGAACACCAGUAUCAAGAUCAGCGUCCCUACAAGCUGGAAGCAAGGAGUAUAUAAUUUCCUUUAUUUGAUUUCGUUGAAUGGGUAUCUCUGAGGGCCCCGAUGGCAAGAAGCCUUUAUUUUUAACCAUGUAGCCAGCAAGAACCUUUGGAUCUCCACCUAAAGGGUAAAACUCCAACCCAGCAGUCAAGACAAACUCUUUGAAAUUUGAAUGAGUUGCUAGUCUAACACGAUGGCCAUAAUCCUGCAGGCGUUUGCCGAUUGCUAUAAAUGGCUGCACAUCUCCACGGGUUCCAACAAUAAGUAUUACUAUUUGCAUUGGGGGUAUAUAUUUUUCAUCUGUCACAUCAGCAAGCUCAUCAUCAGCAACUGUAUUAUUUACAUCAUCACUUCCAAUACCAAGGGCACGUUGUUCAACAUCUCCUGGAACUUCAAAUUCUACAGUUCCAUCAUCUUUGACAGUGGCUAUUCUCUUCAACAAUUUAAGCCUCUGCUGGACAGAGAUCUUGUCAUCCAAAAUCUGUGCUGCAUCUUCAGCAAGUAUAUUAUGAUAUCUUUGCCUUUCAGUUUUAGAUUUUUCCAGCUUACGCUCACUAGAAGUGGGUUCUAAUUUGUUAGCACCUGGCAUUUCAACCUGUGAAGUCUUUAAUUUAGAUGUACUCCUGCCCGCGAUU
This 3258-nucleotide unclassified non-coding RNA is filed under the name Hevea brasiliensis (rubber tree). The record is from RNAcentral. Lineage: Eukaryota; Viridiplantae; Streptophyta; Magnoliopsida; Malpighiales; Euphorbiaceae.